Long non-coding RNA from Centruroides sculpturatus (bark scorpion), 889 nucleotides. RefSeq lists it as uncharacterized. The transcript is spliced from 3 exons. The record is from RefSeq and is a predicted model, not a curated record. Lineage: Eukaryota; Metazoa; Arthropoda; Arachnida; Scorpiones; Buthidae.
GAGAACCCAGACAAAACGACAAAGCACGAUUAAUUAAUUAAUCCAGAAAAUCGAAAUGUACAGACUCGUAUAGGACUUAUAUUUAAUUAUUUGAAAACAGUGAACUUACAAUCUUUGAGAAUAUUCUGAAUUCUUAAUAAUAUACUACGAUUGGAUGUCGUAAUCAAAACACUUCUAAUUUGUCGUUAUAAUUUUAUACAAAAUUCCUGUUUAAGAUGACAGUAACUUACUGAUGUGAAUAAUUUAAAUAAAUCCAGAUAAUUAUUUUGCGUAUAUAUAGAAUAAAAAUCAGUUUUUGUGUAUCAGAACAGAGAUUCUCUAUAUGAAUUUUGCAUUUUACUGUAGGAAUAUGCCAAAAUAGAAUUGCAUACACUCAUUAUAAAGCGUGAAAAUAGAAAGUAUUUGUGACGCAAUCGCAAUGUAAACCGAAACCGAAACAGAAAACACAGCAUGUAUAGAUUGAUGUUCAGUUGUGAAUGAAGUCUUGAAUCAGACUAUUCGUGUAGAUUUCGUGCUUAUAUAUUUGAUGAAUGACGGCAUUUUAGCUUCGUCUAAUGUAUACAAGCACUUCAGCCAAUUUUUUAAAAAUUGGCUUCCAUUGAAAUUCUACUGGCAAAGAAAUAUUACCCUAUUCCAUUCAUUGACCUUAAAAUUACCAUUGUAUGGAAUACAACCCACAAAAAUGCAAGUUGCCACAGAAAUUGAAAAUAGACAAAUAGGAGAAUGGAUCGGUUAUAUUACACCAUUUGAUGUAUUGCUCAUAUGGUUUGUCUCAACAUUCAUGAUAUAAUGAGAGGAUACUGUAUUAAGAAAUGUAGUAUAUAAAUGUGAAACAGCAUAUAUACUGUAGUAAAAUAUAUAACUUUAAAUGUAACUUAGGCUUAUUACA